This 1444-nucleotide ribosomal RNA is filed under the name uncultured euryarchaeote. RNAcentral describes it as "bacterial SSU rRNA". It matches the Rfam family "Archaeal small subunit ribosomal RNA". The record is from RNAcentral. Lineage: Archaea; Methanobacteriati; Methanobacteriota.
UUCUGGUUGAUCCUGCCGGAGACCACUGCUAUCUGGAUUCGACUAAGCCAUGCGAGUCGAGAGGGGUAAGCCCUCGGCGCACGGCUGAGUAACAUGUGGAUAAUCUACCCUUGGGUGGGGGAUAACUCCGGGAAACUGGAGAUAAUGCCCCAUAGGUCAGGUAGCCUGGAAUGGUUCCUGGCCGAAAGCAUCGCGUCCAAGGAUGAGUCUGCAUCCGAUUAGGUAGAUGGUGGGGUAAUGGCCUGCCAUGCCUAUAAUCGGUAGGGGCCAUGAGAGUGGGAGCCCCCAGAUGGGAUCUGAGACACGAUCCCAGGCCCUACGGGGCGCAGCAGGCGCGAACCUUCGCAAUGCUGGAAACAGCGACGAGGGAAUCCAGAGUGCUGCUAGUUUUUACUAGUGGCUGUCCUUUAGCUUAAAAAGCUAGAGGUAGAAAGGGCUGGGUAAGACUACUGCCAGCCGCCGCGGUAACAGUAGCAGCCCUAGUGGUGAUCGCGAUUAUUGGGCUUAAAGGGUCCGUAGCCGGCCUAGCAAAUGCCUGGCGAAAUCCUACGGCUUAACCGUAGAGCUAGUCAGGUAGACUACUAGGCUUGGGACUGAGAGAGGCUCUGGGUACUUUUGGGGUAGGGGUGAAAUCCUAUCAUCCCAAGAGGACCGCCAGUGGCGUAGGCGCGUGGCCAGAACGGGUCCGACGGUGAGGGACGAAAGCUGGGGGAGCGAACGGGAUUAGAUACCCCGGUAGUCCCAGCUAUAAACGAUGCGGACUGGGUGUUAGAGCGGCCUAGAGUCGCUCUAGUGCCGAAGGAAACCGUUAAGUCCGCCGCCUGGGAAGUACGGCCGCAAGGCUGAAACUUAAAGGAAUUGACGGGGGAGCACCACAACGGGUGGAGCCUGCGGUUCAAUUGGAUUCAACGCCGGAAAGCUUACCGGGGGCGACAGCAGGUUGAAGGUCAGGUUGACGACCUUACCAGACAAGCUGAGAGGUGGUGCAUGGCCGUCGUCAGUUCGUACCGUGAGGCGUCCUGUUAAGUCAGGUAACGAACGAGACCCCUGCUUUUAGUUGCCAGCGGAUCCAGAAAUGGAUGCUGGGCACACUAGGGGGACCGCCAGCGCUAAGCUGGAGGAAGGAGGGGGCGACGGUAGGUCAGUAUGCCCCGAAUCCCCCGGGCUACACGCGGGCUACAAUGGCUAGGACAAUGGGAUCCGACCUCGAAAGGGGAAGGCAAUCUCCUAAACCUAGUCUUAGUUCGGAUUGAGGGCUGUAACUCGUCCUCAUAAAGGUGGAAUCCGUAGUAAUCGCGAGUCAACAUCCCGCGGUGAAUACGUCCCUGCUCCUUGUACACACCGCCCGUCAAGCCACCUUAGUGGGGUUCAGAUGAGGCUACGUCGAUGUUGGCGUGUUCGAAUCUGAGUUCUGCAAGGGGGGCUAAGUCGUAACAAGGUAACC